This 411-nucleotide ribosomal RNA is filed under the name Triticum aestivum (bread wheat). RNAcentral's name for it is "partial small subunit ribosomal RNA". Lineage: Eukaryota; Viridiplantae; Streptophyta; Magnoliopsida; Poales; Poaceae. The record is from RNAcentral.
AUGGACAGUGGAGACGAGUUUUUCUUCCAUCACUUCCUUUGUGAGAAGAGAAAAAGAUUUGCCCAAAUGCAAGAGAGUGUUAGAAAGGAUGUGGAACGUGCUUUUGGUGUGCUUCAAUCCCGGUGGGGUAUCGUUCGAAACCCUGCACUGUCAUGGGAUGAAAGAAAGCUUUGGGAGGUGAUGACUGCUUGUGUGAUCAUGCACAACAUGAUCGUCGAGGAUGAGCGUGAUGAGAGUAUCUUCGACCAAGGAUUUGAUUAUCAAGGUGAAAAUAUUGAGCCCUUGCACCAAGACCCGGCCACAUUUGAACAGUUUGUCCAAUUUCACCGUGAGAUGCGUGAUUGGCACACUCAUUUGAAUCUUCAAAAUGAUUUGGUUGAGCACGUCUGGGAUCACAUUGGCAACCAAUAG